AUGGCGUCGCCCUCCUCGUCGCUCUGCUCCAGCCUCGGCUACCCGCGCGCCGCCUCCCUCGGCGGCCGCCGCCGCGUCGGCUUCUCCUCGUCCAGGAAGCUAUUCCAAGUGAAGGCAUCAAGGGUCGACAGUUUCUCCAAGAGUGACAUCAUUGUGUCCCCUUCCAUUCUCUCUGCAAACUUCGCCAAGCUUGGUGAACAGGUAAAAGCUGUGGAGGUGGCAGGAUGUGACUGGAUUCAUGUUGAUGUCAUGGACGGCCGCUUUGUGCCAAAUAUCACGAUUGGACCAUUGAUUGUUGAUGCUCUGCGUCCAGUGACUGAUCUUCCACUGGAUGUGCAUCUGAUGAUUGUGGAACCUGAGCAGCGAAUUCCAGAUUUUAUCAAGGCAGGUGCUGAUAUUGUUAGCGUCCACUGUGAGCAAACGGCAACCAUCCAUCUGCACCGAACAGUUGAUCAGAUUAAAAGUCUAGGAGCAAAAGCUGGAGUUGUUUUGAACCCUGGGACCCCACUCAGUGCGAUAGAAUAUGUACUUGAAUCUGUUGAUCUGGUAUUGAUUAUGUCAGUCAAUCCUGGUUUUGGUGGGCAGAGUUUUAUUGAGAGUCAAGUAAAGAAAAUUGCCGAUUUGAGAAAAUUAUGCGAAGAGAAGGGAGUGAACCCCUGGAUCGAGGUUGAUGGCGGAGUCAGUCCCAAAAACGCCUACAAGGUCAUUGAAGCUGGAGCGAAUGCCCUUGUUGCUGGUUCUGCGGUCUUCGGAGCUAAAGACUACGCUGAAGCUAUCAAAGGAAUCAAGACCAGCAAAAGACCUGUAGCCGUAGCAGCAUGA
This 822-nucleotide ribosomal RNA is filed under the name Triticum aestivum (bread wheat). Its description in RNAcentral is "partial small subunit ribosomal RNA". The record is from RNAcentral. Lineage: Eukaryota; Viridiplantae; Streptophyta; Magnoliopsida; Poales; Poaceae.